AAGGCCUUCGGGUUGUAAAGUACUUUCAGUCGUGAGGAAGGCAUUAACGUUAAUAGCGUUAGUGUUUGACUGUUAGCGACAGAAGAAGCACCGGCUAACUCCGUGCCAGCAGCCGCGGUAAUACGGAGGGUGCGAGCGUUAAUCGGAAUUACUGGGCGUAAAGCGCAUGCAGGUGGUUUGUUAAGUCAGAUGUGAAAGCCCGGGGCUCAACCUCGGAACCGCAUUUGAAACUGGCAGGCUAGAGUACUGUAGAGGGGGGUAGAAUUUCAGGUGUAGCGGUGAAAUGCGUAGAGAUCUGAAGGAAUACCGGUGGCGAAGGCGGCCCCCUGGACAGAUACUGACACUCAGAUGCGAAAGCGUGGGGAGCAAACAGGAUUAGAUACCCUGGUAGUCCACGCCGUAAACGAUGUCUACUUGGAGGUUGUGGCCUUGAGCCGUGGCUUUCGGAGCUAACGCGUUAAGUAGACCGCCUGGGGAGUACGGUCGCAAGAUUAAAACUCAAAUGAAUUGACGGGGGCCCGCACAAGCGGUGGAGCAUGUGGUUUAAUUUGAUGCAA
RNAcentral lists this ribosomal RNA (557 nucleotides) under Vibrio sp. UST010723-002. RNAcentral describes it as "bacterial SSU rRNA". It matches the Rfam family "Bacterial small subunit ribosomal RNA", at positions 411 to 959 of the family's 1533-position model. Lineage: Bacteria; Pseudomonadati; Pseudomonadota; Gammaproteobacteria; Vibrionales; Vibrionaceae. The record is from RNAcentral.